RNAcentral lists this ribosomal RNA (494 nucleotides) under uncultured bacterium. RNAcentral describes it as "partial 16S ribosomal RNA". It matches the Rfam family "Bacterial small subunit ribosomal RNA", at positions 28 to 507 of the family's 1533-position model. The record is from RNAcentral.
GACGAACGCUGGCAGCGCGCUUAACACAUGCAAGUCGAACGGAAAGGCCUGCUUUCCCUUGUGGAUUGCGGGUACUCGAGUGGCGAACGGGUGAGUAACACGUGAGUGAUCUGCCCCCAACUUGGGUAUAAGCCUGGGAAACUGGGUCUAAUUCCCGAUAGGACUGCAGGGUGGUGCCUGUGGUGGAAAACGAUUUUCUAGUGGUUGGGGAUGAGCUCGCGGCCUAUCAGCUUGUUGGUGGGGUAAUGGCCUACCAAGGCGGCGACGGGUAGCCGGCCUGAGAGGGUGGACGGCCACAUUGGGACUGAGAUACGGCCCAGACUCCUACGGGAGGCAGCAGUGGGGAAUAUUGCACAAUGGGCGGAAGCCUGAUGCAGCGACGCCGCGUGGGGGAUGACGGCCUUCGGGUUGUAAACUCCUUUCGACCGCGAGGAAGCCACCUGGUUGGAAGGGUGGUGACGGUAGUGGUAGAAGAAGCACCGGCUAACUACGUG